UACGUAGGGCGCAAGCGUUGUCCGGAAUUAUUGGGCGUAAAGCGCGUGUAGGCGGCUUAGCAAGUCGGGCGUGAAAGCCCUCGGCUCAACCGAGGAAGUGCACCCGAAACUGCUGAGCUUGAGUGCCGGAGAGGAUGGCGGAAUUCCCCAAGUAGAGGUGAAAUUCGUAGAUAUGGGGAGGAACACCGGUGGCGGAGGCGGCGACCUGGGUCGAGACUGACGCUGAGGCGCGAAAGCGUGGGGAGCAAACAGG
Molecule: ribosomal RNA, 253 nt
Filed under: uncultured bacterium
Lineage: Bacteria
Description: partial 16S ribosomal RNA
Rfam family: Bacterial small subunit ribosomal RNA
Source: RNAcentral